Molecule: small RNA, 29 nt
Filed under: Bombyx mori (domestic silkworm)
Lineage: Eukaryota; Metazoa; Arthropoda; Insecta; Lepidoptera; Bombycidae
Description: ovarian small RNA-18529
Source: RNAcentral
UAACAAAGGGAAAACCGGGAUUGACUCGC